RNAcentral lists this ribosomal RNA (486 nucleotides) under uncultured bacterium. Its description in RNAcentral is "partial 16S ribosomal RNA". It matches the Rfam family "Bacterial small subunit ribosomal RNA", at positions 30 to 507 of the family's 1533-position model. The record is from RNAcentral.
AUUGAACGCUGGCGGCAUGCCUUACACAUGCAAGUCGAACGGCAGCACGGGUGCUUGCACCUGGUGGCGAGUGGCGAACGGGUGAGUAAUACAUCGGAACAUGUCCUGUAGUGGGGGAUAGCCCGGCGAAAGCCGGAUUAAUACCGCAUACGAUCUACGGAUGACAGCGGGGGACCUUCGGGCCUCGCGCUAUAGGGUUGGCCGAUGGCUGAUUAGCUGGUUGGUGGGGUAAAGGCCUACCAAGGCGACGAUCAGUAGCUGGUCUGAGAGGACGACCAGCCACACUGGGACUGAGACACGGCCCAGACUCCUACGGGAGGCAGCAGUGGGGAAUUUUGGACAAUGGGCGAAAGCCUGAUCCAGCAAUGCCGCGUGUGUGAAGAAGGCCUUCGGGUUGUAAAGCACUUUUGUCCGGAAAGAAAUCCUUGGCCCUAAUACGGUCGGGGGAUGACGGUACCGGAAGAAUAAGCACCGGCUAACUACGUG